AGUCUGCAUGCAAACCUUGCACUGCAUUCAAAGUUCACCACCAUCACAAGAUGAUUCCAUAAAUAUGUCACACACAAUGCAGAAGACUCAGUUUCCAUGAACUUAACUUAGUUCAUGUAUAAAUCAUACACUAUGUGAGAUUAUCAAAAUAGUCAGACCCAAUUUCAUUCCCUGCCAUUACUUCAGGAUGCAUUUGGAUAGAGAAUUUGAAAUUCAAAUAAAAAAAAUGUAGGAUACCGCCUCCAUCAUCCUACUCGUACUGCCACCUUGAUUACCUCAAUCAUCCCAUCCAUCAUUCAAGUCUUAUCCAUGAUAAUCAAUAUACAUCCAUGAAUUUUUGUCACAUAAUGCCGUUUCUAUACUAUUUUGCCAGCUUAUAAUGUAAGAUGGACAAAUGGUAUAAAAUUAAUAGUAUAUAAAAACAAUAAUCCACAAAAUUACAGGGUAACAGGUUCAAAAAAAUAAAUUCAAACACACUACAAACUUCAAAUUCGCCACUUCCAACUCAUGGGGAAAAAAGCUCACCUAGAGUUGGCCAUGAUCAAAGUAGGGUCCAAAAUUGGUCAAUGGUUCCCAAACUCAACCCAGACCCAAAGGAGGACAGGAGUCUCUGUCCAUUGAAACUGGCGGUUCCACAUGGGGUCUGGUUUGAACCACGAAUUAAAAAAUAAAAAAUUAAAUAUUAUUUCAAACAUUCGAUUGCCUCAAUCCGGAUUAAUUGAAAGAAAACUGAAACUAAACAAUAAAUGUGAAGAAUGGCCCUCUCAACUUGGUUCAGGUUUGGUUGAACCACAAACCAGAACUGCAGGUAAUGGUCCGGAAUGGACCAUGGCAAGCACUAAGCUUACCCGUGAACUAAACCUCCAGCUUUGGGUGCCAAUAUCAUUAAAAAAAUAUUAAAAAAAAAACUAACUUUCCACAAUUCAUUUAAAAUCAGCCUAAAAAACUACACACACACACACACACACA
This 969-nucleotide unclassified non-coding RNA is filed under the name Hevea brasiliensis (rubber tree). The record is from RNAcentral. Lineage: Eukaryota; Viridiplantae; Streptophyta; Magnoliopsida; Malpighiales; Euphorbiaceae.